Molecule: long non-coding RNA, 240 nt
Filed under: Nicotiana benthamiana
Lineage: Eukaryota; Viridiplantae; Streptophyta; Magnoliopsida; Solanales; Solanaceae
Description: long non-coding RNA (NBEN_LNC031787)
Source: RNAcentral
UUGAAGAUUGUCCUUCUUGAAGUAUUGGCUUUCACAAGAAUUUAUCUAAGACCAAAAAUGGAUAAUGGUUUUCCACUUGAUAUGCAAGACAACAAUGGCUCUCUCUCGCUCAAUGGGUGGAAGAAGAAGAGAAUGUCUUACAUUCUUAUGGGAACCAUAACCCCCCACUUAUAACAUAUGAGUUAUGAAACUCAAAAGUCAUAAGCAUGUAACCAUGGUUACAUGUAUGUAACCUUNNNN